This 148-nucleotide small RNA is filed under the name Pongo abelii (Sumatran orangutan). Its description in RNAcentral is "Metazoan signal recognition particle RNA (ENSPPYG00000031140.1)". The record is from Rfam by way of RNAcentral. Lineage: Eukaryota; Metazoa; Chordata; Mammalia; Primates; Hominidae.
GCCGGGCAUGGUGGCACGUGCCUGUGAUCCCAGCUACUCAGGAGGCUGAGGCAGGAGAAUCACUUGAACCUGGGAGGUGGAGGUUGCAGUGAGUGGAGAUUGCGCCACUGCACUCCAGCCUGGGUGACAGAGUGAGACCCUGUCUCAA